GCUGGGUGGGGUGGUGCACACCUAUAGUCCCAGGGUUUUGGGAAGCUGAAGCAGGAGGAUUGCUUGAGCCCAGGAGGAGUUGGAGAUCCAGCUGGGCAACAUAGUAAGACCAU
This 113-nucleotide small RNA is filed under the name Marmota monax (woodchuck). The record is from RNAcentral. Lineage: Eukaryota; Metazoa; Chordata; Mammalia; Rodentia; Sciuridae.